GGCGAGUGUAGGUGAAUUCUAGAAAGGAGGUCUUUUUUCAGAGUUGGAGUGCCACUUUCCCUCUCCCUUACAUUGAAUUGGGUUGCAUCAUGCUUUUGGGUUGAUCCUUCUGUGUGUUUCCACAGGCUCCACCUCCUGUUGUCGGAAGCGCAAGGAAUGGGUUACAUGCAUCAAUGCCCCUCUGCAAUAUUUCCUUUUACAUCGGACUAUUUCUUUACUACUCUUUACUAACUGCUAGGAUGGGUUCAUGUAAUCUUUACUACUCUUAGCAAUAUUACGAAUAGGAGUUUGUGGUCAGCAAUGGUGGUGGGGACACCCGUUCUCAUUUGAAAGGUGGAUAUUUUAAUCAUACAGAAGCAAGGAGCAUAUCAGAGUUAUUUGUCGCUAUUAUGUUACAAUGUUCAAAAGUAUCUUUGCAGAAAAAUAUUCCUUGGGAUUUAGUUCCAUUUGCAAAGAAAUGCCUUUAUUUCUUGUAUAGG
This 479-nucleotide long non-coding RNA is filed under the name Triticum aestivum (bread wheat). RNAcentral's name for it is "long non-coding RNA (TAES_LNC015126)". The record is from RNAcentral. Lineage: Eukaryota; Viridiplantae; Streptophyta; Magnoliopsida; Poales; Poaceae.